UACGGAGGAUCCAAGCGUUAUCCGGAAUCAUUGGGUUUAAAGGGUCCGUAGGCGGUUUAAUAAGUCAGUGGUGAAAGCCCAUCGCUCAACGGUGGAACGGCCAUUGAUACUGUUAAACUUGAAUUAUUAGGAAGUAACUAGAAUAUGUAGUGUAGCGGUGAAAUGCUUAGAGAUUACAUGGAAUACCAAUUGCGAAGGCAGGUUACUACUAAUGGAUUGACGCUGAUGGACGAAAGCGUGGGUAGCAAACAGG
This 253-nucleotide ribosomal RNA is filed under the name uncultured bacterium. RNAcentral describes it as "partial 16S ribosomal RNA". It matches the Rfam family "Bacterial small subunit ribosomal RNA", at positions 524 to 776 of the family's 1533-position model. The record is from RNAcentral.